RNAcentral lists this ribosomal RNA (253 nucleotides) under uncultured bacterium. Its description in RNAcentral is "partial 16S ribosomal RNA". It matches the Rfam family "Bacterial small subunit ribosomal RNA", at positions 524 to 776 of the family's 1533-position model. The record is from RNAcentral.
GACGGAAGGUGCAAGCGUUGCUCGGAAUCACUGGGCGUAAAGGGUGCGUAGGCGGCUUGGUAAGUCGGGUGUGAAAGCCCCGGGCUCAGCCUGGGAAGGGCACUCGAAACUGCCGAGCUGGAGUGCCGGAGGGGAGAGUGGAAUUCCUGGUGUAGCGGUGAAAUGCGUAGAUAUCAGGAGGAACACCAGUGGCGAAGGCGGCUCACUGGCCCGAUACUGACGCUGAGGCACGAAAGCGUGGGGAGCAAACAGG